UUUUGAAAGGUCAGCGGCGGACGGGUGAGUAACACGUGGGCAACCUGCCUGUAAGACUGGGAUAACUUCGGGAAACCGGAGCUAAUACCGGAUAAUAUAAGGAACCUCCUGGUUCUUUAUUGAAAGAUGGUUUCGGCUAUCACUUACAGAUGGGCCCGCGGCGCAUUAGCUAGUUGGUGAGGUAACGGCUCACCAAGGCGACGAUGCGUAGCCGACCUGAGAGGGUGAUCGGCCACACUGGGACUGAGACACGGCCCAGACUCCUACGGGAGGCAGCAGUAGGGAAUCUUCCACAAUGGACGAAAGUCUGAUGGAGCAACGCCGCGUGAGCGAUGAAGGCCUUCGGGUCGUAAAGCUCUGUUGUUAGGGAAGAACAAGUGCGAGAGUAACUGCUCGCACCUUGACGGUACCUAACCAGAAAGCCACGGCUAACUACGUGCCAGCAGCCGCGGUAAUACGUAGGUGGCAAGCGUUGUCCGGAAUUAUUGGGCGUAAAGCGCGCGCAGGUGGUCCUUUAAGUCUGAUGUGAAAGCCCACGGCUCAACCGUGGAGGGUCAUUGGAAACUGGGGGACUUGAGUGCAGAAGAGGAAAGUGGAAU
RNAcentral lists this ribosomal RNA (599 nucleotides) under Sutcliffiella horikoshii. Its description in RNAcentral is "bacterial SSU rRNA". It matches the Rfam family "Bacterial small subunit ribosomal RNA", at positions 82 to 667 of the family's 1533-position model. Lineage: Bacteria; Bacillati; Bacillota; Bacilli; Caryophanales; Bacillaceae. The record is from RNAcentral.